AACGAACGCUGGCGGCAGGCCUAACACAUGCAAGUCGAACGUGAAGCCACCUUCGGGUGGUGGAAAGUGGCAGACGGGUGAGUAACGCGUGGGAACGUGCCUUUCGGUUCGGGAUAACCCAGGGAAACUUGGGCUAAUACUGGAUACGCCCUCCGGGGGAAAGAUUCAUUGCCGAAAGAUCGGCACGCGUCGGAUUAGCUAGUUGGUGGGGUAAAAGCCUACCAAGGCGACGAUCCGUAGCUGGUCUGAGAGGAUGACCAGCCACACUGGGACUGAGACACGGCCCAGACUCCUACGGGAGGCAGCAGUGGGGAAUAUCGGACAAUGUGCGCAAGCCUGAUCCAGCCAUGCCGCGUGGGUGAAGAAGGCCCUAGGGUUGUAAACCCCUUUCAGCGGGGAAGAUAAUGACGGUACCCGCAGAAGAAGCCCCGGCUAACUCCGUGCUAGCCGCCGCCGUAA
This 459-nucleotide ribosomal RNA is filed under the name uncultured bacterium. RNAcentral's name for it is "partial 16S ribosomal RNA". It matches the Rfam family "Bacterial small subunit ribosomal RNA", at positions 29 to 523 of the family's 1533-position model. The record is from RNAcentral.